This 129-nucleotide non-coding RNA is filed under the name Chromera velia. The record is from RNAcentral. Lineage: Eukaryota; Chromeraceae.
ACGAACCAACAAAAGAAAGGAGACACCGAGAGAGUCAUCUGCGUCUCUAAUUCGUCAAAUUUCUUUCGCUUUCUUCGAACAGUCCAUUGUUGAAUUUUCAUUUGCCUUCUAUCGACUGGCCACGGAGAA